Molecule: ribosomal RNA, 519 nt
Filed under: Pila globosa
Lineage: Eukaryota; Metazoa; Mollusca; Gastropoda; Architaenioglossa; Ampullariidae
Description: partial 28S ribosomal RNA
Source: RNAcentral
GACGGGUGUUACUCCUUCUACGAAGCUGAAAAGAACCUCGGGGGGAGAGUUCAAGAGUAUGGAAGUCGUCUAGGGGUACACGGAAAAGAACCUAAAGUUCGAAAGGAAAGAUUCCUGUCUCUCUGUAGUUGGUCCCACCGCACAAAGAUGGGAUUGAUGUGAGCAAAUAUGUUCAUUAAGCUUCCCAAUUUUGAACAAUGUUGUCUACAAUAACAGGAGAGUACAUUUGUUUUCCCAUAGGACGUCGCGACAAGUGGUCUGGUUCGUUAAGGGUCAGGGUGGCAGAAUUGAGGCACCUGUUUCUUGAGACCCUUGAAUUCCCUAAAGAUCAGACGACGGUAUGUCAUGAUGGUGGUGGACCGCCUCUAGGUGGGAGUGCAGACAUGCAGCAAAUGAUCAAAAGUGGAGGUUGCACCCUCUAUGGUUCGGCCAUCUCCCCCCUUCACCUACCAGCAUGUUCUUGCACCGUUCCAUACUCCAGUCGGCGCCGAGUAACCUUUGCAAUUUUACCCCCCCCCA